This 1346-nucleotide ribosomal RNA is filed under the name uncultured bacterium. RNAcentral describes it as "bacterial SSU rRNA". It matches the Rfam family "Bacterial small subunit ribosomal RNA", at positions 28 to 1381 of the family's 1533-position model. The record is from RNAcentral.
GAUGAACGCUAGCGGGAGGCCUAACACAUGCAAGCCGAGCGGUAUUGUUUCUUCGGAAAUGAGAGAGCGGCGUACGGGUGCGGAACACGUGUGCAACCUGCCUUUAUCUGGGGGAUAGCCUUUCGAAAGGAAGAUUAAUACUCCAUAAUAUAUUGAACGGCAUCGUUUAAUAUUGAAAGCUCCGGCGGAUAGAGAUGGGCACGCGCAAGAUUAGCUAGUUGGUGAGGUAACGGCUCACCAAGGCGAUGAUCUUUAGGGGGCCUGAGAGGGUGAUCCCCCACACUGGUACUGAGACACGGACCAGACUCCUACGGGAGGCAGCAGUGAGGAAUAUUGGUCAAUGGGUGCAAGCCUGAACCAGCCAUCCCGCGUGAAGGACGACUGCCCUAUGGGUUGUAAACUUCUUUUGUAUAGGGAUAAACCUACCCUCGUGAGGGUAGCUGAAGGUACUAUACGAAUAAGCACCGGCUAACUCCGUGCCAGCAGCCGCGGUAAUACGGAGGGUGCAAGCGUUAUCCGGAUUUAUUGGGUUUAAAGGGUCCGUAGGCGGACUUAUAAGUCAGUGGUGAAAGCCUGUCGCUUAACGAUAGAACUGCCAUUGAUACUGUAAGUCUUGAGUAUAUUUGAGGUAGCUGGAAUAAGUAGUGUAGCGGUGAAAUGCAUAGAUAUUACUUAGAACACCAAUUGCGAAGGGCAGUUUACCAAGAUAUAACUGACGCUGAGGGGGGAAAGCGUGGGGAGCGAACAGGAUUAGAUACCCUGGUAGUCCACGCCGUAAACGAUGCUAACUCGUUUUUGGGCUUUAGGGUUCAGAGACCAAGCGAAAGUGAUAAGUUAGCCACCUGGGGAGUACGCUCGCAAGAGUGAAACUCAAAGGAAUUGACGGGGGCCCGCACAAGCGGUGGAUUAUGUGGUUUAAUUCGAUGAUACGCGAGGAACCUUACCAAGACUUAAAUGGGAAUUGACAGCUUUAGAAAUAGAGCUUUCUUCGGACAAUUUUCAAGGUGCUGCAUGGUUGUCGUCAGCUCGUGCCGUGAGGUGUUAGGUUAAGUCCUGCAACGAGCGCAACCCCUGUCACUAGUUGCCAUCAUUCAGUUGGGGACUCUAGUGAGACUGCCUACGCAAGUAGAGAGGAAGGUGGGGAUGACGUCAAAUCAUCACGGCCCUUACGUCUUGGGCCACACACGUAAUACAAUGGCCGGUACAGAGGGCAGCUACACAGCGAUGUGAUGCAAAUCUCGAAAGCCGGUCUCAGUUCGGAUUGGAGUCUGCAACUCGACUCUAUGAAGCUGGAAUCGCUAGUAAUCGCGCAUCAGCCAUGGCGCGGUGAAUACGUUCCCGGGCCU